RNAcentral lists this unclassified non-coding RNA (359 nucleotides) under Hevea brasiliensis (rubber tree). Lineage: Eukaryota; Viridiplantae; Streptophyta; Magnoliopsida; Malpighiales; Euphorbiaceae. The record is from RNAcentral.
CUGAGUUAUUUAAAAUAUACCAAAGGCCAAGAGAGUCUGUAGAUUCAUACAUAUAUAAGUUUAAAAAUGUGCAUAAAAAUGCAAAGUAUCUUGGCCUGAAUGUGAGUUUGUCAAAUUGGCCCGAGGCGGUAUAUUCAUUGAGCUUAGAAAGAAGUUUCAGGGCAUGGAGUUUCGGGAUUUCUUUGAGUUUGCUAUGAAAGUGGUACACAAUGAAGAGCUACUUAGGGAAGAAAAUCAAAAAAGGAAAACUUCCAUGGGUACCUAUUUUCAAGAAAUUGUUGAUGAUGUGGAUAUUGUUGAUUUUGUUAAUAUAGGUAGCUAUGUUUGUUCUAUGUUAUCUAAACUAGCAAAAUCUCUAG